This 977-nucleotide long non-coding RNA is filed under the name Zostera marina. RNAcentral describes it as "long non-coding RNA (ZMAR_LNC000626)". The record is from RNAcentral. Lineage: Eukaryota; Viridiplantae; Streptophyta; Magnoliopsida; Alismatales; Zosteraceae.
AUUUAAGUGUAACUUAUGACUUCCAUAUAUGCUUGGUUGUUUUUAUUGAGGAAAUUGGAUUUCACAAAAAAAUAUUGAAUAUCAUUUUGAGAAAGUACUAGUUUUGCACUUUGUAAUGCAAAUAUUGUAGCGUGUAGAAUUAACUUUUGAGCUUGAAUCUGGAGAAUAUGUAUCACAACUGCAGGUAUUUUUCUCAUUGUUACUUUUUAGUUCUAUUCAUUCCCUUAGUUAGAUAAUAGAACAAAUUCUAUUAAAAGACCUAGUUUUUUAUCCAUGUUUAUUUUUACAGUGCACACUUGAAGACUGAAGUCAUAAUGGAAAAGGUUGUGCUGUGAUAACAAUUUGGAAAAAGCAGGCAUGUUCAUUCUUCUCACAGACAUGUUUGCUAUUAUGGCCAUUCGUUUCUUUGUUUUGUUUUUUUACCGUUCCUUCUUAUAUUUCUAAUGAAAUUACUUGUUGCAGAUCGUUAAACAUGCAUGGGAUAAAUUUACAUAAGAAAUUUCAUUAAGUUUCAAAGACAAAGCUAUCUCCCUUGUCAAGGUAUCUCUGUGUCUUAUUUUCCUUGUGGUUUUUCUAAAUCUCUUAAAAAAAAAAGCUGGUCUCAUCCGUGUUAUAGUUGUUUAUUGAAAAUAUACCGCCAUCUCAUACAAAUUUGUUAUUAUUACCAUGAUUUUGAUUUUUUCCAGUUUAAUUUUGUUUGAUUGCUUUCAUCUAUCCUCUUUACCAAAAAUGCACAGCCAUACUUCUACUAACAUUUCACAAAUGCUGUGUAGGCAUUAUUAUUUGUCGCCGCUGAAGUUGAAUUUUGUAGGUUCUUCUAAAAUCUUUCUUCUUUAAUGCCUUCCAUCAUAAGUUACACAUUCAUCUUGUUUUAUGUUAGAAACAUUAUUUCUCUUAACUCUUAAGUAAAUUACUCUUUGUAUGUUCCUCUACUUGUUUAUCGGUUUUGGUGCUUUUGUAAUUUGUCAUAUCCUGCU